This is a small nuclear RNA of Myotis lucifugus (little brown bat), 106 nucleotides long. NCBI's taxonomy places the organism in Eukaryota, Metazoa, Chordata, Mammalia, Chiroptera, Vespertilionidae. The record is from Ensembl.
GUGUUCGCUUCAGCAGCACAUAUGCUAAAAUUGGAAGAUACAGAGAAGAUUAGCAUGGCCCCUGGGCAAGGAUGACACGCAUAUUCAUGAAGCGUUCCAUAUUUAA